RNAcentral lists this ribosomal RNA (466 nucleotides) under uncultured microorganism. Its description in RNAcentral is "bacterial SSU rRNA". It matches the Rfam family "Bacterial small subunit ribosomal RNA", at positions 9 to 521 of the family's 1533-position model. The record is from RNAcentral.
GAGUUUGAUCUUGGCUCAGAACGAACGCUGGCGGCAUGCCUAACACAUGCAAGUCGAACGAGAUCUUCGGAUCUAGUGGCGCACGGGUGCGUAACGCGUGGGAAUCUGCCCUUGGGUGCGGAAUAACUUCUCGAAAGGGAUGCUAAUACCGCAUAAUGUCGUAAGACCAAAGAUUUAUCGCCCAAGGAUGAGCCCGCGUAAGAUUAGCUAGUUGGUGGGGUAAAAGCCUACCAAGGCGACGAUCUUUAGCUGGUCUGAGAGGAUGAUCAGCCACACUGGGACUGAGACACGGCCCAGACUCCUACGGGAGGCAGCAGUGGGGAAUAUUGGACAAUGGGCGAAAGCCUGAUCCAGCAAUGCCGCGUGAGUGAUGAAGGCCCUAGGGUUGUAAAGCUCUUUUACCCGGGAUGAUAAUGACAGUACCGGGAGAAUAAGCUCCGGCUAACUCCGUGCCAGCAGCCGCAGU